AGCUCCAAUAGCGUAUAUUAUUGAUGUUGCAGUUGAAACGUUCGUAGUCGAACUUUUUCUGUUGGAGGUACAUGAUUGUCACUGACAGCAUGUAUACUCAAUGCAGAAAAGUGUUAAUCCGUUCAUGUGUUUCACAUGGCGUGCAUUAACACUAUACUUUGAGUGAAUCGGCGUGUUUCACGCAGGCUUCAUGCCUUGAACGAUUUACCAUAGUAUAUUUACAGUAUGAAAGUACCAUUUCGUCUUCUCGAUGGUAUUUUUGAUACUCAAAAGAACGGUCGAGGGCAUUCGUAUUCAACUGCCAGAGGUGAAAUUCUUUGAUUAGUUGAGGACGAACCAUUGCGAAAGCAUCUGCCAAGGACGUUUCUG
Molecule: ribosomal RNA, 369 nt
Filed under: uncultured eukaryote
Lineage: Eukaryota
Description: SSU rRNA
Rfam family: Eukaryotic small subunit ribosomal RNA
Source: RNAcentral